GAUGAACGCUGGCGGCGUGCUUAACACAUGCAAGUCGAACGGAAAGACCCAAGCUUGCUUGGGUACUCGAGUGCCGAACGGGUGAGUAACACGUGGGUGAUCUGCCCUGCACUUCGGGAUAAGACUGGGAAAAUGGGUCUAAUACAGGAUAGGACCACUUCUUGGAUGUUGUGGUGGAAAGAUUUUUCGGUGUGGGAUGAGCUCGAGGCCUAUCAGCUUGUUGGUGGGGUAAUGGCCUACCAAGGCGUCGACGGGUAGACGGCCUGAGAGAGUGUACGGCCACAUUGGGUCUGAGAGACGGCCCAGACUCCUACGGGAGGCAGCAGGGGGGAAUAUUGCAGAAUGGGCGCAAGCCUGAUGCAGCGACGCCGCGUGGGGGAUGACGGCCUUCGGGGUGUAAACUCCUUUCGCUAGGGACGAAGCGUUUUGUGACGGUACCUGGAGAAGAAGCACCGGCUAACUACGUG
RNAcentral lists this ribosomal RNA (467 nucleotides) under uncultured bacterium. Its description in RNAcentral is "partial 16S ribosomal RNA". It matches the Rfam family "Bacterial small subunit ribosomal RNA", at positions 28 to 507 of the family's 1533-position model. The record is from RNAcentral.